Molecule: ribosomal RNA, 252 nt
Filed under: uncultured bacterium
Lineage: Bacteria
Description: partial 16S ribosomal RNA
Rfam family: Bacterial small subunit ribosomal RNA
Source: RNAcentral
UACGGGGGGGGCAAGCGUUGUUCGGAAUUACUGGGCGUAAAGGGCGCGUAGGCGGCCUUCUAAGUCGGACGUGAAAUCCCUCGGCUCAACCGAGGAACUGCGUCCGAUACUGAAAGGCUUGAAUCCGGGAGAGGGAUGUGGAAUUCCAGGUGUAGCGGUGAAAUGCGUAGAUAUCUGGAGGAACACCGGUGGCGAAGGCGGCAUCCUGGACCCCGGCAUUGACGCUGAGGCGCGAAAAGCUAGGGGGAGCAA